Molecule: long non-coding RNA, 311 nt
Organism: Centruroides sculpturatus (bark scorpion)
Lineage: Eukaryota; Metazoa; Arthropoda; Arachnida; Scorpiones; Buthidae
Exons: 3
Source: RefSeq, a predicted model, not a curated record
AUACGAGUCGUUUUCGGUCAAGAUACACUCAAUUCCUUGCUCUGCGGGAAUGUGUGAUUUACAGGAGAAAAGGUAACAGGAUGCUGGAGAAGAAAGAUGAGGAUGAAGAUGAAGAGAUGCUGGAGAGAUGCUUUAUUGACACCGGGCAACACUCCACACCAUCCUUCUAGUGGGGUUCUAAUUAAAAAUGGUAAGUAUUAAUGCUAUUUUUGGAGAUUUUCCCCUGUUUCUUUCCAUGUUCGAUGCAUUAAGCUUAUCUCCUAUUCGAUUAUUCAAAAAAUUUUACGACAAAUUCACUAAAUAGCCUUAGG